UACGGAGGGUGCGAGCGUUGUUCGGAAUUAUUGGGCGUAAAGAGCAUGUAGGCGGUCUGUUAAGUCUGGUGUGAAAGCCCGGGGCUCAACCCCGGAAGUGCAUUGGAUACUGGCAGACUUGAGUAUGGGAGAGGAAAGCGGAAUUCCGAGUGUAGGAGUGAAAUCCGUAGAUAUUCGGAGGAACACCAGUGGCGAAGGCGGCUUUCUGGACCAAUACUGACGCUGAGAUGCGAAAGCGUGGGGAGCAAACAGGAUUAGAAACCCGGGUAGUCC
Molecule: ribosomal RNA, 273 nt
Filed under: uncultured bacterium
Lineage: Bacteria
Description: partial 16S ribosomal RNA
Rfam family: Bacterial small subunit ribosomal RNA
Source: RNAcentral